This 497-nucleotide ribosomal RNA is filed under the name uncultured bacterium. RNAcentral's name for it is "partial 16S ribosomal RNA". It matches the Rfam family "Bacterial small subunit ribosomal RNA", at positions 28 to 507 of the family's 1533-position model. The record is from RNAcentral.
GACGAACGCUGGCGGCGUGCCUAAUACAUGCAAGUUGAGCGCUGAAGGUUGGUACUUGUCCCAACUGGCUGAGCAGCGAACGGGUGAGUAACGCGUGGGGAAUCUGCCUUUGAGCGGGGGACAACAUUUGGAAACGAAUGCUAAUACCGCAUAAAACCUUUAAACACAAGUUUUAAGUUUGAAAGAUGCAAUUGCAUCACUCAAAGAUGAUCCUGCGUUGUAUUAGCUAGUUGGUGAGGUAAAGGCUCACCAAGGCGAUGAUACAUAGCCGACCUGAGAGGGUGAUCGGCCACAUUGGGACUGAGACACGGCCCAAACUCCUACGGGAGGCAGCAGUAGGGAAUCUUCGGCAAUGGACGAAAGUCUGACCGAGCAACGCCGCGUGAGUGAAGAAGGUUUUCGGAUCGUAAAACUCUGUUGGUAGAGAAGAACGUUGGUGAGAGUGGAAAGCUCAUCAAGUGACGGUAACUACCCAGAAAGGGACGGCUAACUACGUG